GACGGAGGAUGCAAGCGUUAUCCGGAAUGAUUGGGCGUAAAGCGUCCGCAGGUGGCAGUUCAAGUCUGCUGUCAAAGACCGGGGCUUAACUUCGGAAAGGCAGUGGAAACUGAACAGCUAGAGUAUGGUAGGGGCAGAGGGAAUUCCUGGUGUAGCGGUGAAAUGCGUAGAGAUCAGGAAGAACACCGGUGGCGAAAGCGCUCUGCUAGGCCGCAACUGACACUGAGGGACGAAAGCUAGGGGAGCGAAUGGG
RNAcentral lists this ribosomal RNA (253 nucleotides) under uncultured bacterium. RNAcentral describes it as "partial 16S ribosomal RNA". It matches the Rfam family "Bacterial small subunit ribosomal RNA", at positions 524 to 776 of the family's 1533-position model. The record is from RNAcentral.